GAAGGUCCCUGGGCGUCCGCGCCCGGGGAGACGCCGCCGGGGGGAGGAAAGUCCGAACUCCGCAGGGCAGUGCGCCGGGUAACGCCCGGUCAGGGUGACCUGAAGGAAAGUGGCACAGAAAACAUACCGCCAGUCUUCGCCCUCGACGCUUCGCAUUGCGAGGCUGCGGCCGGCAGGCCCCUGAAGGGCUUGCCCGCCGGAGCUUGAGCAGUGGAAGGGUCGAGGGCGAAGGCGGGUAAGGGUGAAAAGGUGCGGUAAGAGCGCACCGCGCCGUCUCGCCGAAGCAACGGCCGGGAUUCCCGGCCGUUGCGAAGGCGGACCGUGGGACCGGUCCGGUUCCGCGCGCGGCAACGCGGGUGGCAGGCAAAACCCCGCACGGAGCAAGACCGAAUAGGGAGGCGUCACCAGGACGGCCCGUCCGACGCUUUCGCCAACGUCCCGGUUCGCCGGGGCCGCGGCGGGGCGACAGCCUCCGGGUUGGUCGCUGGAUCCCGCCAGCAAUGGCGGGGCUAGAGGAAUGAUCGUCGUCCGCCGGCGCCCGGCGUGAGCCGGGCGAAGGCGGAAACAGGAUUCGGCUUACGGCUGCUCUGCGGCC
This 595-nucleotide RNase P RNA is filed under the name Acidobacteriota bacterium. Its description in RNAcentral is "Acidobacteria bacterium (wastewater metagenome) RNase P RNA component class A". It matches the Rfam family "Bacterial RNase P class A". Rfam says of the family: Ribonuclease P (RNase P) is a ubiquitous endoribonuclease, found in archaea, bacteria and eukarya as well as chloroplasts and mitochondria. Its best characterised activity is the generation of mature 5'-ends of tRNAs by cleaving the 5'-leader elements of precursor-tRNAs. RNAcentral also lists the same sequence under 1 other name. The record is from RNAcentral. Lineage: Bacteria; Pseudomonadati; Acidobacteriota.